UGAGGAAUAUUGGUCAAUGGGCGAGAGCCUGAACCAGCCAAGUAGCGUGAAGGAUGACGGCCCUACGGGUUGUAAACUUCUUUUGUGCGGGAAUAAAGGAACCUACGUGUAGGUUUUUGCAUGUACCGUAACGAAUAAGCAUCGGCUAACUCCGUGCCAGCAGCCGCGGUAAUACGGAGGAUGCGAGCGUUAUCCGGAUUUAUUGGGUUUAAAGGGAGCGUAGACGGGUUUUUAAGUCAGCUGUGAAAGUUUGGGGCUCAACCUUAAAAUUGCAGUUGAUACUGGUUUCCUUGAGUGCAGUUGAGGCAGGCGGAAUUCGUGGUGUAGCGGUGAAAUGCUUAGAUAUCACGAAGAACCCCGAUUGCGAAGGCAGCUUGCUAAACUGUAACUGACGUUCAUGCUCGAAAGUGUGGGUAUCAAACAGGAUUAGAUACCCUGGUAGUCCACACGGUAAACGAUGGAUACUCGCUGUUGGCGAUAUACUGUCAGCGGCCAAGCGAAAGCAUUAAGUAUCCCACCUGGGGAGUACGCCGGCAACGGUGAAACUCAAAGGAAUUGACGGGGGCCCGCACAAGCGGAGGAACAUGUGGUUUAAUUCGAUGAUACGCGAGGAACCUUACCCGGGCUUAAAUUGCAGACGAAUUACGAGGAAACUUGUAAGCCGCAAGGCGUCUGUGAAGGUGCUGCAUGGUUGUCGUCAGCUCGUGCCGUGAGGUGUCGGCUUAAGUGCCAUAACGAGCGCAACCCUCGUGGUCAGUUACUAACAGGUUAAGCUGAGGACUCUGGCCAGACUGCCAUCGUAAGAUGUGAGGAAGGUGGGGAUGACGUCAAAUCAGCACGGCCCUUACGUCCGGGGCUACACACGUGUUACAAUGGGAGGUACAGAAGGCAGCUACCCGGCGACGGGAUGCCAAUCCCCAAAACCUCUCUCAGUUCGGACUGGAGUCUGCAACCCGACUCCACGAAGCUGGAUUCGCUAGUAAUCGCGCAUCAGCCACGGCGCGGUGAAUACGUUCCC
This 1018-nucleotide ribosomal RNA is filed under the name uncultured bacterium. RNAcentral's name for it is "bacterial SSU rRNA". It matches the Rfam family "Bacterial small subunit ribosomal RNA", at positions 355 to 1375 of the family's 1533-position model. The record is from RNAcentral.